Long non-coding RNA from Macaca mulatta (Rhesus monkey), 2541 nucleotides. RefSeq lists it as uncharacterized. Lineage: Eukaryota; Metazoa; Chordata; Mammalia; Primates; Cercopithecidae. The record is from RefSeq and is a predicted model, not a curated record.
UGAGCACGUCUUCUUAACAAAACCUGAAUAUUGAUGGUUUUUAAAUUCUGGUCUCUAAAGGACAAUAAGAUUAAUAAAGAAGAAAUAAACCCAAGAUAUGAGAUUAACUGUGUACAUUUAAGUAAAGAUUAAGUUAGGUAUAACAUACGGAACAAAUUACAAAUAGAGGUACCACCACAGUGUGGCCCUGUUUUAACUCUGCAGAGCCACCCACCUGAGGCUGGGGUUGGACUGGUGAGAGUGGCAGAUGGGUGGGCUGCCACUGGGAGUGGGGGAACCCAGGACCUGAAACUAAAACAUGUACCUCACCCCAGGACUUUCAAGGAGAAAGGAGAGAGGUCUGAGUGGGCUUUUGUCGGUGUACUAAGGGUCAGUGCUCCUAAGAUCAAGUAACAACCAUACCAAGUCUUAAAGGUAGGAAUUAGAGUAGAGGCCACAAACAACACCAUCAGUGAGGGUCAGGGGUCAGACAAAAACUGGGCCAAGCAUGGGGAAGAGUUUGGGAAAGGUAUAGCUGGUAUGCUCCCAUCAGCUCUUGGGAGGCUUGGCAGGCUCUGCCAUGAGGCUUUAUAAUGAAGGCCUUGUUUUGGGCUGUCAACCAGAGGGAAGUUGUGGGUGCUGGUGAGUGUUCAUGGCAAUAGGUACCUGUGGAAGGGUGGCACGUGGGCAUCGUAGGCAGGAAGUCCUUGAUAAGAUUCUUCCCAGCCUCCUCUCUCUGCUAUUAACCAAGGCUUUUGUGGCUUAACAACAGGCCAGCACCCCUCCCUCUGCUCGGUCAACCAUAUGUAGCCCCCUUUUCAUCUCUUGCUCUCCCAAAAUGAACUCAGAUCAUGAAAUGGUGCACCCAUGAGUUCGCACGUUUGAAACUUUAUUAACACCCCUGAAGUUCUUUCUUUUUGCAGAGGCCUCUGACAGAAGAUGCAAUUUCCCUAAACAGCCAGCUCCUGUUACUUUGGCAGACCUUUCAACCUUAGCCUGACAAGAAGCUUGUGUCCGCCUCCCUGCAUUAACUGAGUCUUUUUCCAGAAUCCCAGGGUGUGUCAGCAGCAGUGUGUGUAUUCCAAAUGGCUCACUGUGCAUGUUUCUUUAGCUUUCUUACAUCCUUUUGUUUUAUUAUUUCCAGCUUGGCCCGUAUUUGCCAUAUUUUUCCACUUAAUCAAAAGGUCGAAUGAAAGAAUGUCUAUUCAUCAGAUUUCCAUGGAACCAUGCCAAUAGGGAGUAUCAUGAAGGCGAGUUGUCCUGGCUCCCCACCUCCAUCCUGGCCCUGCUGCUCUCUGCUUCGCUGUGUAUGCACAACCCCACAGGUGCCUGUCUCCAGGUGGGAAUGGCCACUCUCCGGCUCUCCGCAUAUGGCUUCAGCAUUGUUUCAACCCCCUUCUCCAUCCUACCUUGCUGUUACAGUUCCAAGAUUUGUUUCUCACUAGUGUUUUAGGCCCUGCAACCACACUGUGUUUUUGAGAGAGAGUCUGACAUGUAUAUGCAGUACAUGCCAUUUGGCCUUUGCUUGAUACAUGUCUGCUUCUCUGCUGUUCUUUUUAAUUAAAAGGGAGAGAGGUAUGUAUACGAGCUGGAGCAGGACUGGGGCCGUUAAGACUUGAGCCUGGUCCUGGCUCUGGCAUUGAGUUUCCCGCUGACCUCAGGCAAGUUCCCUAAACCUUGGCUUUUUUACUGGCUUUAAUGAGUAGCCCGGCUGUUUCUUGGAAAACAUGUUAAAUAUGUUGAAAAUGCUAAAUAUUGAAAAUACUUUCUCAGCUGCAUCCUUUGGCAAAUUCCAGAUUCUUUUCUAUCCCUUUUUGGUUUUGCAAGGUCCAAGGUCAGAUAUCCUAGUUUCCCUCUGCCUAAGCCUCUUCAGUUAGCUGGCUCAGUUUUCAUGGAAAUAGGAAUAUGAGGCAUAGACAUUCAUUAACUGUAGCUGUUAAAAUUCCCAAGCAAAUCCAAGUAGAAUGUGGUUAUGAAAGCCAAGGCCUGUUGCCAAAGAAAGAUGUAUGUGUGUGUAUGUGUGCGUGUGUGUGUGUGCACGUAUGCGCGUGCGUGCAUUGUGGGAUAUGUGCUUAUUAUAUAACUUCUGAUCCUUGAUCCCUGGAUGUUAUCCAGUGAGUAGCUGGUUGGAUUUGGGGCUUAACAUGGCUUGGGAGCUGUUUGGAGCCUUGGUGGGAACUAGAUGACUCUGUGUUGUCUCAAUCCUGCUGUGUAAAUAGUCUCUUCUCCUGAUUCAUCUGCCACAGCCCAGCUGCUUUUCGGCUCCAGUGAUCCUGCUUACUGAGUCUCCCAGAGACAGAGAUCUGAAUGGUCGGUGAGGAGCCCGUCCCAGGCUGGCAGGAAGGAUUCUGGGCACUCUGGGGACAUCUUUCAUGUCCUGUACCAGCUCCGUAGACAUUUAGCUGAGGGAACGACCAUGAAUGUUUGGAGCUGAGCCCUCAGGCUCCUGUUGGUUUAGGUGGGACUUGAUGCUGUACCUAUAAGACAUCUUGUUACAUGAAGUGCGGCUGAUGGGAGAAGCAGAAGGAGUCUGGCUCUGUCACCCAAGCUAGAGUGCAGUGG